GCGAGUGAAGAGGGAAGAGCUCAAAUUUGAAAUCUGGCGGUCUCAGGCCGUCCGAGUUGUAAUCUAGAGAGGCGUUUUCCGUGCCGGACCGUGUACAAGUCCCUUGGAACAGGGCGUCAUAGAGGGUGAGAAUCCCGUCCAUGACACGGACUCCNGGUGCUCUGUGAUACGCCUUCGAAGAGUCGAGUUGUUNGGGAAUGCAGCUCAAAACGGGUGGUAAAUUCCAUCUAAAGCUAAAUACAGGCGAGAGACCGAUAGCGAACAAGUACCGUGAGGGAAAGAUGAAAAGAACUUUGGAAAGAGAGUUAAACAGUACGUGAAAUUGUUGAAAGGGAAACGCUUGAAGUCAGUCGCGUCUGCCAGGACUCAGCCUUGCUUCUGCUCGGUGCACUUCCUGGUGGAUGGGCCAGCAUCGAUUUUGGCUGCCGGAAAAGGGCGGGAGGAAUGUGGCAGCUUGCUGUGUUAUAGCCUCCNGUCGUACACGGUGGUUGGGAUCGAGGAAUGCAGCACGCCUUUUGGUCGGGGUUCGCCCACGCCACGUGCUUAGGAUGCUGGCGUAAUGGCUUUAAACGACCCGUCUUGAAACACGGACCAAGGAGUCUAACAUGCCUGCGAGUGUUUGGGUGUCAAACCCAGGCGCGUAAUGAAAGUGAAAAGUUGGGACUCUUUAGUGAGGCACCGACGCCCGAUCCUGACGUUUUCUGACGGAUUUGAGGCAGAGCAUGUAUGUUGGGACCCGAAAGAUGGUGAACUAUGCCUGAAUAGGGUGAAGCCAGAGGAAACUCUGG
This 788-nucleotide ribosomal RNA is filed under the name Exidia candida. Its description in RNAcentral is "eukaryotic LSU rRNA". It matches the Rfam family "Eukaryotic large subunit ribosomal RNA", at positions 89 to 867 of the family's 3401-position model. The record is from RNAcentral. Lineage: Eukaryota; Fungi; Basidiomycota; Agaricomycetes; Auriculariales; Exidiaceae.